This 490-nucleotide ribosomal RNA is filed under the name uncultured bacterium. Its description in RNAcentral is "bacterial SSU rRNA". It matches the Rfam family "Bacterial small subunit ribosomal RNA", at positions 21 to 507 of the family's 1533-position model. The record is from RNAcentral.
GGCUCAGAUUGAACACUGGCGGCAUGCCUUACACAUGCAAGUCGAACGGUAACAGGGAGCUUGCUCCGCUGACGAGUGGCGAACGGGUGAGUAAUAUAUCGGAACGUGCCCUAGAGUGGGGAUAACUAGUCGAAAGAUUAGCUAAUACCGCAUACGAUCUAAGGAUGAAAGUGGGGGAUCGCAAGACCUCAUGCUCGUGGAGCGGCCGAUAUCUGAUUAGCUAGUUGGUAGGGUAAAAGCCUACCAAGGCAUCGAUCAGUAGCUGGUCUGAGAGGACGACCAGCCACACUGGGACUGAGACACGGCCCAGACUCCUACGGGAGGCAGCAGUGGGGAAUUUUGGACAAUGGGCGCAAGCCUGAUCCAGCAAUGCCGCGUGAGUGAAGAAGGCCUUCGGGUUGUAAAGCUCUUUUGUCAGGGAAGAAACGGGUUGAGCUAAUAUCUUGGCCUAAUGACGGUACCUGAAGAAUAAGCACCGGCUAACUACGUG